Molecule: long non-coding RNA, 1758 nt
Organism: Felis catus (domestic cat)
Lineage: Eukaryota; Metazoa; Chordata; Mammalia; Carnivora; Felidae
Exons: 2
Source: RefSeq, a predicted model, not a curated record
GCCGUCAGCACAGAGCCCGACGCGGGGCUUGAACUCACGGACCGCGAGAUCAUGACCUGAGCCGAAGUCGGACUGACCUGAGCCGAAGUCGGAUGCUCAACCGACUGAGCCACCCAGGCACCCCCCUUGUAGAACUCUUAAGCAGAUACAAGGACACAGUCUAGAUUCAAAUACCUGACUCUGGUUCCAAAAUUUGAUUUGGGAAAUAUAGAUCAGAUCUUAUUAAAUCAACCUUAUAGGAACUGUAUGGAUAUUUUAUAAUACUGAAAAUCUCUGUUUUGGUGUUUUUUAUUUUAUUUUAUUUUACAAAACUGGCCUUGAAAAUUUUGUUUCAUUAAACUUAACUUUCACUUAUUCUUUCUAUCUGAAGUUGGAUCAAAGGGGGAAAAAAGAAGGGGGAGAUGAUGAUAAAAAAUGAGGGCAGAACCUUCUUUCUAUCAGUGACUACGAGAACACUGUGUUUUCUCCGAGAGACAGUUAAAGGGAAGUUAUCAGUGGGGGUGCUGGAACUCCCAUUCUCUCCCAGCAGUCAUGAGGAGCGUCUCAGCUUGGAAGUCAAGAAGGCCAAGUGCAAACCUGCACUUUCACCCCCACCUGGCAGGAAUGAGGCAGCACUCCCUUCCCUGGCUGGAGUGGGGUCAGAAAAAGCCAUACAGGGUUUAAGUAAGAUCCAGAGUCUCAUAACAUAUUAUCUAAAAUGUCCUGAUUCCAUUAAAAAAUCAUUGUCCUAUCAAGAACCAGGCAGAGCCCAAAUAGAAUGAAAAAAUACACUCAACAGAUGCCAACACUGAGAUGGCAGAGAUGUUAGAGUUACCUGGCAGAGAUUAUGAAGCAUUCAUCAUAAAAAUGUUUCAACUAGCAACUAUGAAUACACUUGAAACAAGUGAAAAAACAGAAAGUCUCAGCAAAGAAAUAGAAGAAGAAGCAAUUAGAAAUUUUGAGAAAUAAAAAAAUAUAGUGAAAAACUAAAAUAAAAAACUCAAUGGAUGAGCCCAGUAGCAGCAUCUAGGAGACAGAGGAGAGAAUCCAUGACCUUGGAGACAGAACAAUAGAAAUUACUCAAUCUGAGCAAUAGAGAGAAUAGACUGGAAAAAAAAAAUAAGCAGAGCCUCAGAGACCCGUGGGUCUUCACGAAGAUCCAACAUUCAUGUUAUUGGAGACUCAAAAGACAGGUAGAAAGAAGACCGGGCUGAAAAAGUACCCAAGGAAAUAAUGGCUGAAAACUCCUGCAAUAUGGCAAAAUCCAUAAACCUACAGAUUCAGAAAACUGAGUCUACUCCAAACACAGUAAACCUAGAGAAACAGCACCAUUUGCAUUAUAGUCAAGCUUCUGAAAACUAAAGAAGUAUUGAAAGCAGGGAGAAGCACCUUAACUAUAGGGGGAAACACUUUGAAUGACAGCAAAUGUCUCAUCAGAAACCAAAGAGGCCAGAGGGAAAUGGCACAACAUUUUUCACGUGCUGAAAGAAUUGUUAAUCCAGAAUCCUAUACCCAGGGGAAAUAUUCCUCAUGAGUGAAGGAGAAAUCAAAGCAUUCCCAGGUGAAGGAACACAGAGGCAAUCUGUUGGUGGAAAAUUACCUUAAGAAAAUGACUAAAUGAGAUUCUCCAAGGGAAAAGGAAACAAUAAAAGAAAUCUUGGAACAUCAGAAAAAAAGAACGUGGUAAGCAAAAAUAUGGAUAAAUACAACUGGCUUCCCUUCUCAUACUGAGUUUUCUAAAGUACAUUUGGUUGUUGAAAAAAAGAUUAUACCACUGUC